This 1113-nucleotide long non-coding RNA is filed under the name Numida meleagris (helmeted guineafowl). Its description in RNAcentral is "lncRNA (ENSNMEG00000007918.1)". Lineage: Eukaryota; Metazoa; Chordata; Aves; Galliformes; Numididae. The record is from RNAcentral.
AAUAAAACAAGAAAAAAAAAACAUAGGAAAAAGAAAAAAAACAUCGGAGAGUGGAAGAAUGCAACCGCAGACGUGGGCCCGGUGGGGCAGCAGUCUGCUCAGCGCCCGGUAGGUAAACGGUGCUGGGACCAUUCCCCGGCACCGGGCGCCUUGGGGGGCAGCAGAGCCCCACAGCGCGGAGCAGGGCUGCCCCAUCUCGGCGCAGGACGAGGCACGCGUUGCUCCGGAGCUGUGAUUCGAGCGCCGGAACGCGUCGUGGUGUUUUCCUGUUGGAGCAGGACGGGUGCGGGGCUGGGAUGUGCCGAGCCGGUGGCGCCCGGAUGGGAGCAAAGGUCGGAGCUGGUGCCCGUGGUGACUCCCUGGAGCUGUUUGUUCCAAGCCUGGCUCUCGGUUAGGGGUGGAAGGAGACAUAAAUCAUACAGAAAGCGCCCGAGUGAUGGCUGCUGGGCUGCUUUCUUCACGCGCACCGUGAGCGGCCCGGGGAGAACCUCGAGGCUGUGGUUGGAAGCAGCAGAGUUGGAAACCUUCCUGGGCUGCCCCGGGGUUGCAGGAGAGGAGCAGAACCGCUGCCUGGCUUCCUCUGCCCCCAGCCCCUUCCCCUUCCUUCCCCCUUCCCUUCCAUUUCCUUUCCCCUUUUCCUACCCGUUCCCUUUCCUCUUCCUUUCCUCUUCCAUUUCCUUUCCCCUUCUCUUUCUCUUUCCCCUUCUCUUUUUCCUUCCCUCUCUCCUUCCCUUCCCCUUUCCUUCUCUUUCUCAUCCCUUCCCUCUUUCUUUCCCUUUCCCCUUCUCUUUCCCCUUCCCCUCCCUUUUUUUCCCUCUUUCCCCUUCUCUUUCCCCUCCACUUCUCUUUCCUUCCUUUCUCCCUUUCCUUCCUUUUCCCCUUCCCUUUCCCUUUUCCAUCUCUUUCCCCUUCCUUCUUUCCUUCUCUUUCCCCUUCUCCUUCUCUUUCCCUUUCUCUUUCCCCUUCCCUCGUUCCUUCUCUUUCCCUUUUCCCUAUUUCCUUCCCUUUUCCCUAUUUCUUUCCCUUUCCCCUUCCUUCUUCCCUUCCUUUUCCCUUUCCCUCCUCUUCCCUUCCCCCUUCCAUUCACUCUGCUCUCCCCCAAUGCAGGAUUAG